UUAGAUGCGAUGGGGGGACGGAUCGCGGAAGGUUGUCCGGGUGUUGGACGUCCCGGUCGCUGCAUUGGAGAAGGCGCUUAGGCAAAUCCGGGCGCAGGAUUCAAGGGUGUGGCGCGAGCUCCUUCGGGAGCGAAGCAAUUGGAAGUGGUUCCAAGAAAAGCCUCUAAGCUUCAGUCUAACGAUGACCGUACCGCAAACCGACACAGGUGGGCGAGAUGAGUAUUCUAAGGCGCUUGAGAGAACUCGGGAGAAGGAACUCGGCAAAUUGGUACCGUAACUUCGGGAUAAGGUACGCCCUUGUAGCUUGACCAGCCUGCGCUGGAAGGGUGAAGGGGUUGCAAUAAACUGGUGGCUGCGACUGUUUAAUAAAAACACAGCACUCUGCAAACACGAAAGUGGACGUAUAGGGUGUGACGCCUGCCCGGUGCCGGAAGAUUAAAUGAUGGGGUGCAAGCUCUUGAUUGAAGUCCCGGUAAACGGCGGCCGUAACUAUAACGGUCCUAAGGUAGCGAAAUUCCUUGUCGGGUAAGUUCCGACCUGCACGAAUGGCGUAACGAUGGCCACACUGUCUCCUCCCGAGACUCAGCGAAGUUGAAGUGUUUGUGAUGAUGCAAUCUACCCGCGGCUAGACGGAAAGACCCCAUGAACCUUUACUGUAGCUUUGCAUUGGACUUUGAACCGAUCUGUGUAGGAUAGGUGGGAGGCUAUGAAACCGGAACGCCAGUUUCGGUGGAGCCGUCCUUGAAAUACCACCCUGGUUUGUUUGAGGUUCUAACCUUGGCCCGUGAUCCGGGUCGGGGACAGUGCAUGGUAGGCAGUUUGACUGGGGCGGUCUCCUCCCAAAGCGUAACGGAGGAGUACGAAGGUACGCUAGGUACGGUCGGAAAUCGUGCUGAUAGUGCAAUGGCAUAAGCGUGCUUAACUGCGAGACCGACAAGUCGAGCAGGUGCGAAAGCAGGUCAUAGUGAUCCGGUGGUUCUGUAUGGAAGGGCCAUCGCUCAACGGAUAAAAGGUACUCUGGGGAUAACAGGCUGAUACCGCCCAAGAGUUCAUAUCGACGGCGGUGUUUGGCACCUCGAUGUCGGCUCAUCUCAUCCUGGGGCUGUAGCCGGUCCCAAGGGUAUGGCUGUUCGCCAUUUAAAGAGGUACGUGAGCUGGGUUUAAAACGUCGUGAGACAGUUUGGUCCCUAUCUGCCGUGGGCGUUGGAUAUUUGAAGGGGGCUGCUCCUAGUACGAGAGGACCGGAGUGGACGAACCUCUGGUGUACCGGUUGUGACGCCAGUCGCAUCGCCGGGUAGCUAUGUUCGGAAGAGAUAACCGCUGAAAGCAUCUAAGCGGGAAACUCGCCUUAAGAUGAGAUAUCCCC
Molecule: ribosomal RNA, 1366 nt
Filed under: Burkholderia ubonensis Bu
Lineage: Bacteria; Pseudomonadati; Pseudomonadota; Betaproteobacteria; Burkholderiales; Burkholderiaceae
Description: bacterial LSU rRNA
Rfam family: Bacterial large subunit ribosomal RNA
Source: RNAcentral